This is a long non-coding RNA of Sciurus carolinensis (gray squirrel), 3217 nucleotides long. RefSeq lists it as uncharacterized. The record is from RefSeq and is a predicted model, not a curated record. The transcript is spliced from 3 exons. Lineage: Eukaryota; Metazoa; Chordata; Mammalia; Rodentia; Sciuridae.
CUUUUAGUCCUAUGGAAAUUACUGAGUGUCUUUUAAUCCUGUGGAAAUUAUUGAGUAAAUGUGUUUUAGUUCCCUGGAAAUCAUAAGAUUGAAAAAAAAAAAAAAAAAAAAGUAAGGAUAAAGGAUCACCUUUCUCUAAUAAACUCCUCUCCUCUCCUCUUCAUCCCCAAGAUCCUUCUACUUAGGAUGGAGAGAAAGAAGGAGGCAGCCGCGGGGGUUGAUCUUGCUCUGGUUGGAACUGGCUUUUCGUUGUCCUGGAAGACACUGGCGUUGUACUUCUGGAGGACAUUCCAUCCCUUCAUCUCUCCAGGGCUUCGCCUUGGCCUGCUAAGGAGCACUGUUUGUGGAACAAUGAAGAGCUGGGAAGGGUCCAGGUUAUGAACAAACAGGAAAGUUGGGAUGCUGUCCCAGUCAGAGAGAUGAGGCUUAGGAAAAGGGGCGCAGAUUCUGGGGGAGGCUGACAGGUUCAAGUUUGAACAUAUAAGUAAUUAUGGUUAUAAAUCAUGGGCUAGAAAAAUCUACUACAUAAUCUGCAGUCAAGAAGGAAGUGAUAAAAACAAAAGAAUAAUGAGAUCAUUUAUGAUGAGUGUGUAGUGAAAGAAGAGAAAAAUGAGAUCAUUGUAGCCCAAAGCAGUUGUGUUGAUGGAGUUAUAAUUGGCCAACAGGAUUAUGACUAUAGUUUUAGUUAUAAGAAGAUAGAAGUUGAUAUUUUGCUGCUAAACCAAUCAGAAAGAAUAAGAAUGUAAAGUUUCAAUGAAUGACUGAUAAAGAAAAAAAUGUGAAGUGAGAAAGGGAGAGUGUUACCAGACAUUGGCCUGAACUUGACACCUAACCAUAUGGUGGGUGUGGUGGAAUAAAAGACUUCAUACCUAAUGGUUGAUCAUUAUUUGCCAAGUACAUUCUUAAUUAUUACAACCUUAUAAGGUGAUGGGAAUUGACAUCUUCAUCUUUCACAGAGGGCGAUAAGUCACCUGAAGGGAACAAGGAAGCUAUCUGAAUUGGACUCUAGUAUCUCACUGCUUCCCCAAAUGCCAUGCUGUUCCCUUCGAUUUGGAGCCAGAACUCCCCAAAAAGUUACCAGUUGAUAGAAUUUAGGAACCUUCUGGUAAUUUUCUAUAACCUUAGUCCAGUGCAUAGCUUGGUAUGACUAACUGGAAGACAGGAUGGAUGGGUGCUCCACGGAUGGGUAGAACAGAGGAUUCUGAUUGUUUAAAAAAUUAAAAUAUGAAAGUCUCACUUCCUGUUACUCAGGUGGCCUUUUGUCUUGACCCGUAAGAACCUAAGUCAGUGUUCAGGGAGAGGGACUCCAAAUAGAACUAAAGGACAGUUCCCUAAGAUGAUUAAAACAUAGGAUUGGGUCUCCCCAAAAAUAAAGGUGACUCUCAGGAUGGGGAGAGCUAUUCUCUUCACCACAACACAGUCCAGAACCUAGCAGUGCUGGUUUUGUGAGCCCGGGUACAAAUGCUUCAUGUUUUCUGAGUCUUUUGCUCAGUUCUUCAGAGCACUGAUGACAGAAAACUCAGAGGGGUGUUAAUAACAGAUGAUAGUAGUGCUUCCUGAAUGGUGACUUCAUACAGAAUUGCAAAAGGUACAGAGUACUCCUAAAACAUACAAAUAAAAUUGAACUUAAGACUCUGUAACUCAUUUAAGCCUCUGUAAGAGUCUCACCCUUCAUUAACAAGCAUCAGGAAAAAUUGUGACAGGCUUUGAAAUGGGCAAAAAGAUUACUGUCUGACCUAGCAUACCCUUCUGGAAGAUCUCUGCCUUUCAUUGUCUUUGAACUAUCUUACAACUCUGUAAGUUGUGGAAUACUGAGAGUAAUGCAAAUCAAUCUUGCAAAUUGUGUCACUGAAUUUAAUUACUGCCUGUGGAUAUGGACCAGUGUUUUUGAUAUUCAUUUCAAUCUCCCUGAUAGACUGUAUAUGUGUCUGUUUGAAUUUUCCUUUGAGCUGGUUUGAACGUCUUAUCGGUUCCCUCAUAAGUUGAGUUAAUGAAAUAUAACACAUGAGAGUCUUUUUUUUUUAAUAUAUUUUAAGAGGUACGUCCUUUAACACAAAAGGAUACUAACUUUAAGCUUGACAGUUUAUGACAUCACUAUCUGAUUAUAUUUUGUCUAUUCCAGAAAACUGCUCAGUGUUUUAUUUCCCACUGUACCUUCCACUGCACCUUUCUAAGGUAACAUUUUGAUAUGGGGGCAUGAGGUUCAUGUGCCUUGUGGUGGCGGAGCAGACAAGACCUGAGGACCAUCAGGUGUUUAUUUGGUCGUGAUACUGGCAUACUUGUACAGAAGACUGUGGACCCAGGAAUACAUGUUGCCUGCCUUUUUCACUGCUACCGAAGGUCUUGAAAGUAGACAUCAUCACAGGGAAUCAGACUCAGCAGAAGAGAGAGAAACUGUGGAAACCACAAUGAGUUGAGAAGGCUGAACAAGGAUAUAUCUGACAACCUCUGGGACACCUCUUGCAAAUUUGAAGAGAGUAGCAUCUUUAUGAUACAUCUCAUGCAAAAAAAAAAAAAAAGCAAUCAUCUUGAACCAACACUAAGAAAGUCUAAUGCUUUAUUUUGAGAUUUUGAUGUUUCUAAAACCUGAGUUGGCCCCUUGGGAAAACUGCUUUUAAAAAAAAAUUGCUGCAAAACCAUAUACUUAAAAAGUUUAGGAAGUCUACCAAGAAUAAACAUUAGCUCACUAUUCCAUAGAACUCAGUUUCUAGCUUCUCCUCAUUAAAAGAAAGAGAGAGAGAGAGAGAGAGAGAGAGAGAGAGAGAGAGAGAGAGAGAGAGAGAGAGAGAGAGAGAGAAAAGAGAGAGAGAGAAAGAGAGAGAGAGAGAGAGAGAGAGAGAGAGGAAGAAAGAAAAAGGACAUUUUGCUAUUUCAGCCUUCUAGAACUUUGCCUUUUGCCUCUUAAUACCAGAAAUUAAAGGCAGAGAUUAUGAUAGUAUAUGUACCCUUAAAAAGCAAGUAGUUUUCUUACAAAGUAUGAAUUUCCAUCAAGCUUAGUCUACUUGGAUGAAGUAUGAGUUCAAAUGCAUCACACAGGGAAGGCUGUCUGGAAACUGGUAUUGGGUAUUUGAAAGCCAUCUUUUCUUUUUUAUCUCAAAGAAAAUUGGCAUUGUCUCUGUCAUAGAAGAUUUUGACUUUGGGUGGUAGCUAGGAUAAUACUUCUUUAGAUGGUUCUGUAAACAUGUACAGGUUAAGCAUCUACUUACAGAAUUCCACU